UACGUAGGGCGCAAGCGUUGUCCGGAAUUAUUGGGCGUAAAGAGCUCGUAGGCGGUUUGUCGCGUCUGCUGUGAAAACCUAAGGCUCAACCUUGGGCUUGCAGUGGGUACGGGCAGACUAGAGUGCGGGUAGGGGGUGACUGGAAUUCCUGGUGUAGCGGUGGAAUGCGCAGAUAUCAGGAGGAACACCGAUGGCGAAGG
Molecule: ribosomal RNA, 200 nt
Filed under: uncultured bacterium
Lineage: Bacteria
Description: partial 16S ribosomal RNA
Rfam family: Bacterial small subunit ribosomal RNA
Source: RNAcentral